Molecule: unclassified non-coding RNA, 901 nt
Filed under: Hevea brasiliensis (rubber tree)
Lineage: Eukaryota; Viridiplantae; Streptophyta; Magnoliopsida; Malpighiales; Euphorbiaceae
Source: RNAcentral
AAAUCCCCCUUUCUGAGCCCAUUUUGGACGCGUGGCUGACCCAAAAUCCCUCUUUGAGCCCAUUUAGCGACGGGGAAGCGCGCUGGACCCCAAAUCCCUCUUUCUGAGCCCAUUUUGCGCUCUGACCCCAAAACGCCAUUUCUCGUGCCCGUUUCGUGCUGGGGACAGGAGCAUGACCCAAAAUCGCGCUUCCUGAGCCCGUUUUUGCGCCGGGGACGCGCGGCGCCGGAUAGAAACUACUAAAAAACCCCCAAAGCGCCCCAAACUACGCGGGGUGGGGGCGGGGCGCGCGCCUUCUCCCCGUGCGUCCGCAGGUCCCGAAAAGCGCCGUUUUACCAAAAACUCCCCAAAGCGCCCCAAAAAACGCAUCGCCUCGGAGCCGCGCGGAGAGCCCCGAUGCCGCCGGGUGGCUUUUUUGGGUCAGUUUCACGGACAUUUCGGUAACUUUGGGGCGGCUCAGCCCCCGACGCCGGCGUAGGGAAAGGCCGGUUUUUGGCGUUGGCGGAAAUGGGCGUUUUUGGGGGCGGUUUUGGGGCGCGGGGGUGUCGCGAUUGCCUUCCAGGAGGUGGCGGCGCGGCCGGACCCGCGGCGGAGGCAGCAGGUGAUGAUCACGUUUUCUUCCUUUCCCCAAAACCUCUCCAAAUCGCCCCAAAAUUGGAGCUCGGCCGCCCCCCAGUUAAAGCCAACCCCGCCAAACCGAACCGCACCCACCGGUGUCACCACACGGUGUCCCACAAUGGGGCGUGGGGCCCCCCCGGCUUCACGCCCGCCCCCCCACACCCCCAAAUUGGGUAAAAACACAGCAGAAAAGGGGUCGGGUCUUGGGGGGGGGACCCCAGGAUGCCCGGGGGGGCCCAAAUUGCCCCCAAUCUCCCCCCAAAUCCCCCCUUCCUCCCCCCCG